This 5106-nucleotide unclassified non-coding RNA is filed under the name Leishmania donovani. RNAcentral's name for it is "gene:LdHU3.32.1770(CDS-product:cleavage_and_polya denylation_specificity_factor-_like_protein)". The record is from RNAcentral. Lineage: Eukaryota; Euglenozoa; Kinetoplastea; Trypanosomatida; Trypanosomatidae.
AUUGUAGCGCAGGUGGAGCAUUGCCGGUGUCCGGGUGCAGCACUCAACCACCAAAAUAGAAGGACGGCUUUGAGGGCAGGGCCGCAGGACUACUCCGUGACGUCGUGGAACGCACCUGCACGUUUUGCUACUCCACAGCAGUUCACCAACGCAUCUGACCAGUCCUCCGCCGUCGUUGUCCACGUGCACGCCUCCCAACUCUUCUAAACAGCAGCCGCUGCCGGGCCUAAAGCACAACUGCUGCUCACCCCGACCGCAUAGCCAUCAUGCUCCACACGGCCGUGGCGCCGUUGUUGCCGGCCUCGGUGGUGACGCACACCGUCUCUGGUUAUUUUCUCCCCGACUCCUCUGCGGCGCAGAAGGAGAAAGAGGUGGUGGCAAUUCGACAGAAUCACCUCACCUUGUAUCGCGUAAAGCGCACGCCUCAUGCCUGCGCUGCUGCAGGGCUGCCGCCAGCGGAGCAGCUCGGUCAGGUGGCGGAGGUUUCCCUGCACGCGCCACCGCUGGCGGCCGCAACAUGCCGCCCUCUCCGGACCACCUCCGACGUCUUGGUACUUCUUUUCGAUGACUUCCACGUAUCCUUCCUGCAGUACAACCCGGUCACAGUUCAGUUCGACACGGUGGCUCUCGUGCAGUUAGAUGACCGUCAGCUGUGCCUCGACCGGUGCCCGCUCAGCGCGAUGCUGCGGGUGGACGAGACAGGGACGUACGUUGCCGUCCUAGCCAAGCGGAGCGACCUCUUCUUCUUCCCGGUGUUGGAGAUGAUAGAUCAGCAGGCGAUGGCACAGGUGCAGGCGGAAAAUGCGGCCGCGAACGCUUCGAACUCGGAUAUGCACUCCGCUGCCUUCGCGGGCAACGAGGAGGCUGCUGUGACGAAGACCUCUGGUACGGCGACGGCAGCAGCCCCGAAGCCAACAGUGGCACUCAAUGCUUGGGGAGACGAGGACGAGGACGACGACUACGACGAAGCGCCGAACCCGCGCAAGCAGCUGGAGGCCGCGAAGAGCGAGCAGUCCGUUUCCGAAAAAACAAUGGCAGGGGACGAUAGCGCUGUGGCGUUCGGAGCAGCCUCCGCGGGGCCUGGAACAGCGUCGUCGCAGAAGGUGACGCAGGGCGGUGUCACCUCGUUGUUGCUGCGUGUUGGUACAGUGACGCACUGGCGCCUGCAAGAUGUGAAGACCGCGCUGCGCAACAUCCGCGACGUCCAGUUCGUCGAGUCGGCUGGCGAGCCCUUGCUGGCGUUUCUGUUUGAGAAGCAGCCGACGUGGGCAGGGCGAGUGAAGCUGCUGGAGUGGCGCAGCAAGACGGUAGAGUCGCAUAUGCUAACCUGCUCGAUCGAGUGGAUGAAAGUGACACUGGCGAACUCCACGGCGCCGCACAUGCUCUCUCUCAGCGAGGUGGAUGGGCUGCCGUACGACGUGACGAGCAUGACGCCGCUUCCGGCCUUCCAGGAUGUACCGUCCGCCGUGUUUUGCGUGAGUCGCAACAUGAUGGUGCACGUGAGCACAAAGAGCGGCUACGGUGUGUACGUGAACGCUACCGGUGAGGAGCAGGCGCGCAGUUUGAAGUCUUCAGCGGUGAGUUUGGAAGCGGUGCAGUGGCGUAGCGCGUCGCAGGCACUGUCUACCGACCUUGUGAAGGUGAACCUGAACUUUGCGAACGCCACGUCCGUGCUCGUCUCGCAGUCGGCGACGACGCAGAGAGCGCCGGUGGUGGCUGCUGGUGCUGCUGCGGCUGCAGAUGGUCACAUCCAACGGCUGCUGGUCGUAACAGAGGAAGAGGGGACCGUCGUGGACGUGCACUUGCAGAGCCACGGCUACACGGUGGGUAGCAUCAGUGCGGAAAUCGUGAUGACCGGCUGCUUCGGCUCCUCGUACGCUUCCAUCGACCCCACAAGGUUCUUUCUCGGCGCCCUGAACGGUGACUCUCGUUUCAUCGUCAGCACCCCGCGCGACCCAUGCAAAGUGCUGCAGAAGUUUCUCGGCAUCGGACCCGUGCGGGACGUCGACAUUGUGGACACCACCACCGCCGCCGCGGAGACGCAGGAGGACACACUCGAUCCGUCCAUUGAAGCCUCCCCCUACGCAGACCUCUUCCGCAGCGUGGAGCUCGAAGCGGUGCCGGCCAUGACGGCGGCGCAGCGAAAGGCGGUGAUGGACAUUGCUCUGUGCUCCGGCAGCGGCUCGGCGGGAAGUCUCUCCAUCUUGCGGCGAUCAAUCCGGAGCCGUGUGGUGCGGCAGGAGGAGCUGAACGCCAUCUCUGUCUUCUUUUUGGAGCCCACCAACGCCGAUGCCCGCAAGCGACCGCGAGACAUCGGCAACGAGGGAGGCAGGGGAGAUGCGCCCCCCGCGUCGACGGUCGGCGGCGGCGCCGCGCCGCACCCACACCUACUCAUCAGCGGCUCGAACUUUUCCAUUCUCUUUGCGGUGCGCAGCGACUCGGUGCAGCAGGUUCGCGGGGCUGCUCUCAGUAUGGCGGCUCGCACCGUGUACGCCGUGCAUCUGGACUGGAUGCCAGGUCUGCUGCAGGUAACGGAGACGGAGCUGCGACUUCUGUCCGCCGACGGCAAGCGCCGACUGUCAAGCACCGAGUUCCUCACGCUACCGGCGAUACAGCGAGCCAGCAGCCAGGGCGCCGCGGCAAACGUGGCCCUCUCUGCCCUGUUGGUCGCGGAAAUGCGCUGCGUCCUUGUCCGCUUCACAGAUGGACAGCUGCUUUCGUUCCGCCUGGAGGAUGCCAAGGCGAUGUCAAUGGCGACCCUGCUCCUAGAGAGAGUGACGGCCGUCGCGUGGUGGGGGUCGGCCGCGAGGCACCUGCAGCAACGUCAGCACGCGCUGGUGGUUGUGCAAAACAUGGACCUGGUUUUCUACACGCUGCAGUCGCCGCAAGCGGUGCAGCAGGCGUCGAGUUUCCCGAACUUUGCUCUCAUCCCGCCCUUUGCGAUGGAGGGGGUCGAGACGCCAGUGGUGAAGCUGCGUGAGCGGCUGAAAGCAGAGCCGCUGCCGACUGUCACGCAUCUCGCCGUCUUUGAUCAGCACGAGGACCCCGCCGCGUCAGCUGCGCCGACGGAGGCGACUCUCGUGAUGAUUCUGUCAUCCGGGGAGCUAGUGACGUACCGGGUUGUCCCUGCUGAUGCCAACGGUCCACGGAGGUGCGUGAAGGUGAUUUACCACAUCCUUGAUGUCGCGCCGGAGGUGGAUGUGGUGGAGUCGAUCGAGGCUCGCAAGAAGCGUCUGCAGGAAGAGCGGGCGCACCUGGCGAGUGUCACGCAGCAGAUGCGCCACUGCAGCGAGCGGCUGGUGCCAUUCCGUGGCCUCCAGGACCGGCACAAAGGCAUCUACGUCUGCGGCCAGACGCCGGUGUUCCUCGUGUACCAUGCUGCCACGAAUCAGCUUGUCUGCACCCGGCAUCACGCCACGAACGCGGUGCGCGGCUUCGCGCCGUUCCACUCGCGGCAUGUGCAUGGCGGUUUCGUCUACUGCGGCGAGGGCUUCGUGCACUUUGCGACGAUGCAGCCCUUCGGCGAGCUGCUUGGCAGCAGCGGGUGGUGGCUUGAGCGGGUGCGGCUUGGGUGCACGCCCCACCAGGUCAUUUACUCCCCCGCGGCGCACGGGUGCUUUGUCGUGGCGUCGCGGCCGCAGCCGUUUUCCCCGAAGAGGGCGCCCUUCGACGUGCAGCUGCGCAUGGUCGAGGACGAGGAGGGCAAUCGCGUGCCGCACGUCAUAGAGCCCGUCUCGCUGCCGCCCCUGUCCGCCACUUCCGGCUCACCCGUGCCAACGAAUGAGCGCUAUGAGGUGCAGUUCUUCUCGACGCUGGAUUGGCAGUGCAUGGGUCGCCUUGUGCUGGACGUAAAUGAGAAGGUGCUCUCCGCGACGCUGAUGCAGGUGACCCGUGACACAACUAUGGACGCGGCGAACCGGUCUACGACGGCGCCGGUGUGCGCACUGGCAACGGCGUACCCGCUGGGCGAGGAUGUCACGACCCGCGGACGCAUCUUGCUGCUGACGACGUCGCAGCAGGGUGGCCAAGGGAUGCAGCAGCUGCGCACCUUACACGAGGAGCCAAUGAAGGGCCCCGUCACCGCCAUCACGAGGGUCGGCGAAGAUUGCGUCGCGGUUGCCGUGGGCGGCACCGUACGUGUGUAUCGCUACGACACGAACAAGAGCACCAUGGAGACCAUGGCAAUCUUGUACGCCGGGGCCUACGUAACGUGCUUGCAAGCAUUUCGCAACUACCUCGUCAUCGGGGACUUGUUCAACUCCGUCCUCUUCGCCCGCUACAGCGAAGAAAUCCACACCAUCACGAUUCUUGGGCGGGACACAAAUGCCAUCUCGGUCGUUUCGAAUGACAUGCUGUACCACGACACUCGCUUCGGCCUCCUCGUCACGGACGACGCGCGCAAUCUCGUGUGCAUGAGCUACAAGCCGCGCGUACUGGAGGAGCCCGGCAAGCCGCCGAAGAUACUGGAGUCGCUUCUGACCGUCACUGGCGAGUACCGACUGGCGGGCGGCGUGCUACUCAAGAUGAUGCGGCUGCGUGCCGCCUCGACGCGCAACAGCAGCGUCGCUAUCUACGUCACUAACAUGGGUGAGAUCGGCUACCUGGUACCGCUCGGCGAUCAGACGAGUCGAACUGGGCAAUGGGUAGGGCGCCGCUUGCAGAGCGAGGUGGCCCACGCUGGCGGCCUGCCGCCGCGCAUGUUCCUUGGCUUUCCACAGGACGAUCCGCUGCGCUCCCUCAAAGGUGAAGAGUGGAUGCUGCAUGUCCCCCUGUUGGAGCAGUUGUACCGCCAAGACCUGCGCACGCGCAAGCUGGUUGCUUCAGCAGCCCAAACGCAGCUAGAGCGCGUCAUGAACGUCGGCGCCACCGUCUCGGCGGAGCUCGGGCACAUUUGAGGAAACGAACGCACAAGAAGGGCGCUGCGUGCGUGGCGCUAGCGCAGAGGGUUGUGUGUCUGCGUGUGUGUAAUGGGCCGUUUUUUUUUUAUGUUCUUGUUAACUGUCACCACAAAUCGGUGUUAGGGAGGUGCGCGGUGGUGUUGGUCCCCGAGCGUGAAUGGCAAAGGAGAAGCCCAUCUGGCAAGAGGACCAAUCCAUGCCAACUCAG